Aedes aegypti (yellow fever mosquito) is the source of this 806-nucleotide long non-coding RNA. RefSeq lists it as uncharacterized. Lineage: Eukaryota; Metazoa; Arthropoda; Insecta; Diptera; Culicidae. The transcript is spliced from 3 exons. The record is from RefSeq and is a predicted model, not a curated record.
ACGUCUCACCGAGCUGAGAAAAUAAAUUUCUUAGAGACGAUAUUUUUUGAUUCUCCGGUGGCAACACGGCGAGUGUCAUGUUGAGUGUUACGUAUGUAGUUGUGAGAAAUGGCAGAUGAUUCAACCAGAAUUAUUUUCAUCAUUCUUUCGUCAGUAGGUGUUUUCAGUACGGUGCAGUGCUACUUUCAAAAUGUUUUCCGCCGCUUACGAUGAGGUGUUAAUUGAGCUGGUGCGCAAAUAUCGCGUUCUAUAUGAUUUGUCCGACCCAAAGUAUAUGGACACAAAAUACAAUCACAAAAAAUGGGAAGCAAUCGCCGAUCAGCUGGAAAAGGAAGUCCUUACGUAUCUUCAGCAGUACAGCAAUGGACCAUGGAUCGAUAUCCGGAUUUGGGAGCGCUUUUUGCCGGGUGCUUUAAACGUUUGACACAGUCUCCCAGCUGUGUGUUGCAUGCCGACCGUACUCCCCUCCGCUUCAGCCACUGCUGCUUCAUCCAGCGGACCGAUGUCGAUGUACACUCAGAAAACUGAACGUGUGAAAAUAAAAAGGAGGGCUUUAUGAAACGACACGAAUUAAGAAAGAGAUAUCGCAGCCAGUAGGGUAAAGUAUAUAACUUGGACAUUCAUAUAAUUUGGACAGGCUAAUCGGUCUAAGCCAAUUUCCAAUGAGAUGGUAUGGAAUAUAUGUAAGGGAAAUCAUGUAUUGCAUUAUUAAUACACUAUGCUACUUAUUAAUGAUGACCAUUUUCAUACCAAUAACAAAUUGGCUUUAAAAAUAUUAAAAUUGUAAAUUGUAUCAACAGAACAUC